GACGAACGCUGGCGGCGUGCUUAACACAUGCAAGUCGAACGGUGAAGCGCCUUCCUUUUUGGUGGGUGUGUAUGAGUGGCGAACGGGUGAGUAACACGUGAGUAACCUGCCCCCUUCUUCUGGAUAACCGCAUGAAAGUGUGGCUAAUACGGGAUAUUCUGGAUCUGUCGCAUCAUGGGUCUUGGAAAGAUAUUGUUUCUGUGGGGGAUGGGCUCGCGGACGAUCAGCUUGUUGGUGGGGUGAUGGCCUACCAAGGCGGUGAGGGGUAGCCGGCAUGAGAGGGUGGACGGGAAGAGUGGGGAGGAGAGACGGACAAGACUGAGACGGGAGGCAGCAGUGAGGAAUAUUGAAUAAUGGGAGGAGGAAUGAUGCAGAGAGGCCGCGAGAGGGAUGGAGGCAUGCGGGUUGAGAACCUAUGUCGGGAGUGAAGAAGGGCUGGCUAGUAUGUGGGUGGGUUGACGGUAGCUGAAGAAGAAGCGCCGGCUAACUACGUG
This 494-nucleotide ribosomal RNA is filed under the name uncultured bacterium. RNAcentral describes it as "partial 16S ribosomal RNA". It matches the Rfam family "Bacterial small subunit ribosomal RNA", at positions 28 to 507 of the family's 1533-position model. The record is from RNAcentral.